GUAGAUAAUAACACUGGUAAAUUCACAUGAUUUGUCAAUUGGCUACAUCCGCGGGUCACAGCCAACUAUUGAACACUUCACUAAAAUUGAAAAAGAUCGAGGACACAAUACAAUUUUAAAAACAAACUUCAUUUUUAAAAUUGACAGUGUCCUGUAAUAUCAAUUAUUUGUUCAAUUAGCACUGAAUGUCUUGUCGGUUUUAAGCUUUUGAACUUCCUCCAAAGAUGCAAAUCUUCAACCCGUGAAGAACACGACCAUUUCUCUCAAAAAUUACAAUAGAUGGUCUCGAAACACUUCAAAGAUUUCUUAGUGUAUUAUGCAUGAUUCUAGGAAUCAUAGAGAUUAUUUUGCUACAUAUUAUUUCCUAGAUUAGUUUUGUUUCCUUACAUAGCAGAUUUCAUAUAUAUAUAUAUAUAUAUAUGUGUGUGUGUGUGUGUAUCAAUGUAUUACAUACAAAAUUAAUGAAGUUUAUUUUCAUUACAUUGAAACUUAGGCCCUGUUUGGUAGGGAUUUUGAGAAUUGAUUUUUUAACCGUUAGAAUAAAAGUGGGGUCCAUAUAUGAGAGAAGAAGUCAAAAAUUACGACUUGAAUAGUAAAAUAACGAACAAAAAAUCAAUUUUUUUGGCAAAAAAUCCCUACCAAACGGAGCCUUAACAUGGUAUCAGAGCAUUAGGUUUUGAAAUUCAUACCUUUGCUUCUACCAUGGCCGAAUCCCCUGCCUUAGACAUCAACAAGUCUCUCACUGAUGCUUCAUCCACAUACUUCCUGCAUUCAUCUGACCAACCAAAUCAGUUCCUUGUGGAUACACCUCUUAAUGGCGAGAAUUAUCCCGCUUGGUGUCGAGCAAUCACUCGAGCACUUAAUGCCAAGAACGAAUUGGGCUUUGUUCUCGGCACCAUCAAACGACCCACCGAAGACUCCGCUGCAGCAUUACUCUGGGACCGAUGGUGUGACAUGAUAAUGUCAUGGAUGCUCCAUUCCAUCGAUCGCUUGCUUACAGGCAGCCUUCUCUAUUGUGCUACACCGAAUGGUUUAUGAGUAGAACUAGAAACCCGCUCCCAACAAAGCAACCGCACCAAAGUUUUCCAACUAAAACGGGAUUUGGCCAAUCUCCACCAGGAACAAAAUUCAAUUACAGCAUACUAUGGAAAAUUGAAGGAGUUAUGGGAUGAAUUAGGCUCCUUACAACCAAUCAGUCCAUGUACAUGUGAUGCCCGUAAAUCUCUCGUUGAAUCUCAAGACACAGAUCGGGUUUAUCAAUUCCUUAUGGGCCUUAAUGAAAGUUUUUAGCAAAUUCGAUCACAGAUCUUAGCCACAGAUCCACGCCCUUCUAUUACUCGUUGCUAUGCUAUCCUCCAUCGAGAAGAAACCCAACAUUUGCUCCAAUUAAACCCAGCUCGACCGGAUGCCUCAGCUCUAAUCGCCCGCUCGACGCCACGACGGACUCAACCUCGUCCUCGUCGAGUCUGGCCCACCGGAACUCCUUUCUGUGAAGUGUGUGGUAAACCCGGCCAUCAACGUGACAAAUUCUUCGAGGUUAUUGGGUACCCAGAAUGGUGGCCAUCCAAGAGUAAACGCAGCACAGUCGGUUCCUCGUCGCCGGCAGUCCAUCAAGUUUCUGCCGCCGCCAACUCCUCAGCCAUGAGUGAAAUUUUUUGUCUCUCCACUGAGCAAUAUUCCCAAUUAAUGGAACUCUUCAAAAGCCCAGCUCUCUCCUUCACAGGUCCCUCUGCUCGCCCCUCUCCUUUUGAUAAACUGUGGGUUGUGGAUGGUGGUGCCACACACCACAAUACCACUUUACCCCUAAAUAAUUCUAGCACCGGUACUUGUCCAUCUUUUGUCUUCCUCCCCACAGGUUCACAGGCUCCCGUGUCCAGUACGGGUGAUGUUAAAUUAUCUUCUCGUUUCUUACUUUCUAAUGUUUUAUCUAUACCUGAUUUUAAAUUUAAUUUGUUAUCGGUUAGUCAACUAACGAAAUCACUCAAUUGUGUCGUUUCCUUCUUUCCAACCUUUUGUGUCUUUCAGGACCUAUACACGAAGAUGCUGAUUGGCAUAGGUGAAGAGCGUAAUGGAUUGUACUACUUCAAGCCAGCUCUCGUUACUGCUCUCUAGUCGUCCAGUCACAUUUCUUUUGACACAUGGCAUCAAUGCUCGGGUCAUCCCUCCUUAAAUAAUCUUCCGUAUUUUAUUUCUCGUUCUAAAGUUAUUGAACAU
Molecule: long non-coding RNA, 2214 nt
Filed under: Olea europaea subsp. europaea
Lineage: Eukaryota; Viridiplantae; Streptophyta; Magnoliopsida; Lamiales; Oleaceae
Source: RNAcentral